RNAcentral lists this ribosomal RNA (254 nucleotides) under uncultured bacterium. Its description in RNAcentral is "partial 16S ribosomal RNA". It matches the Rfam family "Bacterial small subunit ribosomal RNA", at positions 524 to 777 of the family's 1533-position model. The record is from RNAcentral.
UACAGAGGUCUCAAGCGUUGUUCGGAUUCAUUGGGCGUAAAGGGUGCGUAGGUGGCGGGGCAAGUUUGGUGUGAAAUCCCGGGGCUCAACCCUGGAACUGCACUGAAUACUGCUUUGCUAGAGUACUGGAGAGGGAACUGGAAUUUACGGUGUAGCAGUGAAAUGCGUAGAUAUCGUAAGGAAGACCAGUGGCGAAGGCGAGUUCCUGGACAGUUGCUGACACUGAGGCACGAAGGCUAGGGGAGCAAACCGGG